This 1266-nucleotide long non-coding RNA is filed under the name Mus musculus (house mouse). RNAcentral describes it as "long non-coding RNA chr11:5876130-5877396". The record is from RNAcentral. Lineage: Eukaryota; Metazoa; Chordata; Mammalia; Rodentia; Muridae.
AGUUCCAGGGACUCAUCAGCACAGACCAAUCCUGGGACAAACUGCUGAGGAGGCAGGGCGAAGUGGAGGCUGGGCCAGAACCGCAGUCCUGCCCUGGAAGAGCCAGGAGCAUGCCUCAGAGCUCCACCGUGAGCUCCAUCCACAGAAGAAAAGGGCUAACACCACACAGAAGCAUUGGAUGCCAACAUAAACUGCAGAUUCCACACUCCCACCUGCUGUGGCUCUGCUAUGGCCUGGGUGUGUCCAUCCCUCAAAGACCAAGGUGCCAAGCCUGCUGCUAUGAGGAGCUCUCUAGCUAAAGGGUGCACACCAGUGACCAAUUCACACUGAAGACAAUAAGGAUAGGAAGACCAUUUCCUCCAUGGAUGGAACAGUAGCCAUCACUGCCAGAACCUAGCCCUUACCUCUGACCAGACUCUGGGCCAAACCCAACUUUAACCACACAGGUUAAUUUAAUCCUCACUUUUAAGAAGAAGCAGGGAGCUGAAGGGGCCAUUCCAUGGUAGCUGGAAAGUAUUCCAGGUUAGAUAAGGUCCUAGUUCUAGCUGCUGGGCUGCUGGGAGCAGCGUACCCCAAACUUACCCCAGUGUUGCUGCGCCCGGCUCACCAGGAACGGUCUCAUCUGGAUGAGGCGGGUGGCAUAAAUAUGGGCGUACUGCCGGUUAAAGCUGCGCUCUCCCAGUCGGAAGGGCUGUGAGGAGUUGGUGUAAGUUGCCACAGGUACCCGGGCAAAGGUGGCAUUGCUGGCAGAGGGCGGGGCGAGCAGAGUGUGGGCCCUCUGUGCUGCCUGCUCGGAGAACAUGGCGGCACUCCUGGCUUGUUUGGUCCAAGCAGCUGUGUCCAGGCCGAGGAGUUAUCACUGCAGAGACACACAAAGGCAUUCCUGCAAUCCCUUCUUGUACCCAAAGCUCCCCUAGUGUCCCAACCACGCUGUCCACAAUGUGCACACAUGUGUCCGGAGGUGUCAUCCUAUAACCUAGUCAGAUACAACCUGGAGCUCGUUCCAAACCUUGUUCAUCACCUCCUCCUCUCCACAUUUCUACCCAAUCACCAGGGUCUCAAAUUCUGCAUACCCUCAAAUGGAAUUAUUGAUCUGCUUCUGCCCAGCUCCCUGGGACCUCUGCUACCUCUAGGGAUGCUAUCAGGCAUCACUGAAGAAGCCUGUCAUAAUAUAAUUAGUGAUAAAAAAUAAAGCAUAAAGCUGCCCCUGUUUUGCUCAAAACCCCCCAAAGGUUGCUUUUCAGUAAAUAAAACCCCAAGUUCUUA